GACGAACGCUGGCGGCGUGCUUAACACAUGCAAGUCGAACGGAAAGGCCCUGCUUUUGUGGGGUGCUCGAGUGGCGCACGGGGGUGUAACACGUGAGUAACCUGUCCUUGACUUUGGGAUAACUUCAGGAAACUGGGGCUAAUACCGGAUAGGAGCUCCUGCUGCACGGUGGGGGUUGGAAAGUUACGGCGGUUGGGGAUGGACUCGCGGCUUAUCAGCUUGUUGGUGGGGUGGUGGCUUACCAAGGCUUGGACGGGUAGCCGGCCUGGGAGGGUGAGCGGCCACAUUGGGACUGGGAUACGGCCCAGACUCCUACGGGGGGCAGCGGUGGAGAAUAUAGCACAAUGGGCGGAAGCCUGAUGCAGCAACGUCGGGUGCGGGAUGACGGCCUUCGGGGUGUAAACCGCGUUAGCCUGUGACGAAGCGUGAGUGACGGUAACGGGUAAAGAAGCACCGGCUAACUACGUG
Molecule: ribosomal RNA, 468 nt
Filed under: uncultured bacterium
Lineage: Bacteria
Description: partial 16S ribosomal RNA
Rfam family: Bacterial small subunit ribosomal RNA
Source: RNAcentral